UCUAAGUAUAACCUGCCAGACAGGGAAACUGCGUACGGCUCAUUACACCAGCCUUAAUUUACUUGACCUUGACAACCUACUUGGAUAACUGUGGUUAUUUUAGAGCUAAUACAUGCACCAAAGCUCCGAUCCUCGCGGAGAGGAGCGCAUUUGUUCGCCACAAAACCAAGCGCCCAUCUGGGCGUCCAGUGCUGAACCAGAACAACUCAGCUGAUCGCACGGUCUUGUACCGGCGACGUGUCUUUCAAGUGUCUGCCUUAUCAACUUUCGAUGGUAGUGUACCUGACUACCAUGGUUGUGACGGGUAACGGAGGAUAAGGGUUCGACUCCGGAGAAGGGGCCUGAGAAAUGGCCACUACGUCUAAGGAUGGCAGCAGGCGCGCAAAUUACCCACUCUCAACGCGAGGAGGUAGUGACGAGAAAUAACGAGACCGUUCUCAUACGAGGCCGGUUAUUGGAAUGGGUACAAUUUAAA
This 475-nucleotide ribosomal RNA is filed under the name unidentified nematode Sourhope farm. RNAcentral's name for it is "SSU rRNA". It matches the Rfam family "Eukaryotic small subunit ribosomal RNA", at positions 58 to 529 of the family's 1831-position model. Lineage: Eukaryota; Metazoa; Nematoda. The record is from RNAcentral.